Molecule: ribosomal RNA, 714 nt
Filed under: uncultured bacterium
Lineage: Bacteria
Description: bacterial SSU rRNA
Rfam family: Bacterial small subunit ribosomal RNA
Source: RNAcentral
CAGUCGAACGAAGCAUUUAGAACAGAUUACUUCGGUUUGAAGUUCUUUAUGACUGAGUGGCGGACGGGUGAGUAACGCGUGGGUAACCUGCCUUGUACUGGGGGAUAGCAGCUGGAAACGGCUGGUAAUACCGCAUAAGCGCACAAUGUUGCAUGACAUGGUGUGAAAAACUCCGGUGGUAUAAGAUGGACCCGCGUCUGAUUAGCUAGUUGGUGAGAUAACAGCCCACCAAGGCGACGAUCAGUAGCCGACCUGAGAGGGUGACCGGCCACAUUGGGACUGAGACACGGCCCAGACUCCUACGGGAGGCAGCAGUGGGGAAUAUUGCACAAUGGAGGAAACUCUGAUGCAGCGACGCCGCGUGAGUGAAGAAGUAAUUCGUUAUGUAAAGCUCUAUCAGCAGGGAAGAUAGUGACGGUACCUGACUAAGAAGCUCCGGCUAAAUACGUGCCAGCAGCCGCGGUAAUACGUAUGGAGCAAGCGUUAUCCGGAUUUACUGGGUGUAAAGGGAGUGUAGGUGGCCAUGCAAGUCAGAAGUGAAAAUCCGGGGCUCAACCCCGGAACUGCUUUUGAAACUGUAAGGCUAGAGUGCAGGAGGGGUGAGUGGAAUUCCUAGUGUAGCGGUGAAAUGCGUAGAUAUUAGGAAGAACACCAGUGGCGAAGGCGGCUCACUGGACUGUAACUGACACUGAGGCUCGAAAGCGUGGGGAGCAA